This 460-nucleotide ribosomal RNA is filed under the name uncultured bacterium. RNAcentral describes it as "partial 16S ribosomal RNA". It matches the Rfam family "Bacterial small subunit ribosomal RNA", at positions 338 to 795 of the family's 1533-position model. The record is from RNAcentral.
CCUACGGGGGGCAGCAGUGAGGAAUAUUGGUCAAUGGGCGGAAGCCUGAACCAGCCAAGUAGCGUGCAGGAUGACGGCCCUACGGGUUGUAAACUGCUUUUAUACGGGAAUAACGCGCCUUACGUGUAGGGCUUUGCAUGUACCGUAUGAAUAAGGACCGGCUAAUUCCGUGCCAGCAGCCGCGGUAAUACGGAAGGUCCGGGCGUUAUCCGGAUUUAUUGGGUUUAAAGGGAGCGUAGGCCGCAUGUCAAGCGUGCUGUGAAAUGUUCGGGCUCAACCCGGGCAUUGCAGGGCGAACUGGCGUGCUUGAGUCCACUGAAGGCAGGCGGAAUUCGUCGUGUAGCGGUGAAAUGCUUAGAUAUGACGAAGAACCCCGAUUGCGAAGGCAGCCUGCUGCAGCGGAACUGACGCUGAUGCUCGAAAGCGCGGGUGUCGAACAGGAUUAGAUACCCCGGUAGUC